Long non-coding RNA from Cercocebus atys (sooty mangabey), 1244 nucleotides. RefSeq lists it as uncharacterized. The record is from RefSeq and is a predicted model, not a curated record. NCBI's taxonomy places the organism in Eukaryota, Metazoa, Chordata, Mammalia, Primates, Cercopithecidae. The transcript has 4 exons.
UUUUAAAAUACACUUAGAAAGGGAACAGUUAGAAUCUUAAUUUCAGGGAUACUUUACUCCUAAACCUAUUCUUUUUGUUUAUGUAGAGAUUGACCAUGCCUACAGGGACAACUGGAAAACAGAAAUGAAACCAUAUAAGCCAAGCACUCAGGCAAUCUUUGUCCACCCAGUUGACUUAAGAACGCUUGCGAAGAAAAUGUGGCCUCUUUAGAUCUCAGGAACUAUUGGUGUCCCUACUUUCCAGAUGGAGACGUCGAAGCCCAGAGAGCUCAACUUGCAAGUACAGCCUGCUGGCUGAAACAAGAUGCUGUGCCUUGUAUUUCAACCCAAAGAAUAAGAUGGAGAUGGAGAUGAACAAGAGACAUGCAAACCAUAAAAGUCCACAGAUUCUUGUACAUUACUUGAUACAUGGAAGAAACAAGCAGUCAAAAAAGAUAUCGUCCCUCUCAACAUUUUUCCUGUCGAAAAUAUCUGUGGGAUGACAAAGUAUGCUGCCAUCUUACAAACAGCCAUCAGCCUGGUAUAUACUACAUUUUUCUUUCAUGUCACAAAAACAAUAUUUUUUGAAAAAUAGACAUCAGUCACUUGAUAUAAAAAUUCAUGAGUAUUCUAGGAUGUGAUAAAGAAUGUUUUAUUCCUAUUUGUCAUUUUGUAUAGGUGAAGGACAAAAAAAAUCUGCAGACGCUUUGAGAUAAAAUUACUCUUUAACUCGUUUCACAUGGUAUGUGUCAGUAACACUUUCAGUAUGAAAGAUGGAAGCCCCUUACAACGUGAGUUGUUUUUAUAUGUCAAUGUUUAAUUUUUAUAGAAAAAAAAGAACACAUCUUACCAAGCAUAUUAUAUUCAUGUUGUCUUUUAAGGAUUUUUUAAAAAUUUACAACACAAAUUGAAAGAGCCCAAGGGAAAAAGAAAAGACAUCUGUCGGAUCAAGAGUCUCUUCCACAGUGAGAAAAGUUAUUUAAAAAUAAGGGGGAAAAAUGGAAAUGCUGCCUAACCUAAACGGUUUAUGUAAAAUUUCUAAGGCUAAUUCUUUAUUGCUUGGGAAGUCCAUGAAGCUUUUGAUCUAGUGGAUAAAAGUCCACAAGGCAGGAGGAGAUAAACUACAGUUAUUCUAAGAUUAUUCAUCAUUAAGAUACUGACUUUGAACACUUUGUAAAAGAUAAUUAAAGGGGGAGAAAAGGAUGCAAAAUAAUCGGAAUCAAGUAGUGUCACUUGGUAGAAAUAGAAAAAUUGAAGGUGAAACA